Molecule: small RNA, 62 nt
Filed under: Pedobacter alluvionis
Lineage: Bacteria; Pseudomonadati; Bacteroidota; Sphingobacteriia; Sphingobacteriales; Sphingobacteriaceae
Description: Flavo-1 RNA
Source: RNAcentral
AUCUAAACCUGAUCGAAGUGGUUCCGAUUUUUCAUCGGAAAGAACGGAGAGCAGGACUGCAU